AUGCGCUCUCCCAGAGCACCCGCGCGUUCACCACGAACCCGGCCCACUCCAGCCGGGUGGACAGCAGCAUGUCGCUCCGCGCCGCCGGCAGCAGCGUCUCCUCCGAGACAUGGUAGCGCGGAGGUGGUGGUCGGGGUGACGGCAAUCACGGGCCUGGGCGCGUCGGCCAACCGGUUGCGGCUGCGGCGCUGCGCUUCCUGGACGGCGGCGAGGAUGCUGUGGGCCUUGAGGAGCUCGCUGGGGUCCGGGUGCGGCCACUUGCGGACGCGGAUGGCGUGGCGGCCGACGAAGACCGGGCCGUGGUGGACCUGGUGGUGCGCGUUGGCGCCGGCCUCGCUCUCAGCCACCGUGGUCGUCGUCGUGACGGUGGUGGUGGUGGUCGUCGUAGUGGUGAUGGUGGCGGUGGCGCAGAAGAGCGCGUGCAGGAUGAGCCACGUCGCCGGCAGCGACGGCUUGGCCAGCUCUGGCGCCGCGUCGGGCGCCCCCACGGACAGCGGGAGCUUCAUCUCGCCGGAGUGGCCGAACACAGACGACACACACACCGCGUAG
RNAcentral lists this ribosomal RNA (549 nucleotides) under Triticum aestivum (bread wheat). RNAcentral's name for it is "partial small subunit ribosomal RNA". The record is from RNAcentral. Lineage: Eukaryota; Viridiplantae; Streptophyta; Magnoliopsida; Poales; Poaceae.